Molecule: ribosomal RNA, 423 nt
Filed under: uncultured prokaryote
Description: bacterial SSU rRNA
Rfam family: Bacterial small subunit ribosomal RNA
Source: RNAcentral
UGGGGAAUCUUGGACAAUGGGGGCAACCCUGAUCCAGCGACGCCGCGUGGGUGGUAAGGCCUUCGGGUUGUAAAGCCCUUUCACCGGGGAAGAUGUUGACAUUACCCGGAGAAGAAGCGCCGGCUAACUCCGUGCCAGCAGCCGCGGUAAGACGGAGGGCGCUAGCGUUGUUCGGAAUCACUGGGCGUAAAGGGCGCGUAGGCGGCUGUUCAAGUCGAGGGUGAAAGCCCGGGGCUCAACCCCGGAACGGACUUCGAGACUGGGCAGCUCGUGACCGGAAGAGGAGGGUGGAAUAUCCAUUGUAGAGGUGAAAUUCGUAGAUAUUGGGUGGAACAACAGUGGCGAAAGCGGCGCUCUGGUCCGGAUCUGACGCUGAGGCGCGAAAGCGUGGGGAGCAAACAGGAUUAGAUACCCGUGUAGUCC